This 1525-nucleotide ribosomal RNA is filed under the name Bacteroidales bacterium. Its description in RNAcentral is "bacterial SSU rRNA". It matches the Rfam family "Bacterial small subunit ribosomal RNA". Lineage: Bacteria; Pseudomonadati; Bacteroidota; Bacteroidia; Bacteroidales. The record is from RNAcentral.
ACAAUGGAGAGUUUGAUCCUGGCUCAGGAUUAACGCUAGCGGCAGGCCUAAUACAUGCAAGUCGAACGGCAGCGGGUCCAGCAAUGGAUGCCGGCGAGUGGCGCACGGGUGCGUAACACGUAUGCAAUCUACCUUUAACUGGGGGAUAGCCCCGAGAAAUCGGGAUUAAUACCCCAUAACAUUAUGGUGAGGAGUCUCACUAUAAUUAAAGCUCCGGCGGUUUUAGAUGAGCAUGCGCGACAUUAGCUAGUUGGUGAGGUAACGGCUCACCAAGGCUUCGAUGUCUAGGGGUUCUGAGAGGAUUCACCCCCACACUGGUACUGAGACACGGACCAGACUCCUACGGGAGGCAGCAGUAAGGAAUAUUGGUCAAUGGACGCAAGUCUGAACCAGCCAUGCCGCGUGAAGGAAGACGGCCCUACGGGUUGUAAACUUCUUUUGUACGGGAAAAAACCACCGGUCGUGAACCGGUGCUGAUGGUACCGUAAGAAUAAGCAUCGGCUAACUCCGUGCCAGCAGCCGCGGUAAUACGGAGGAUGCAAGCGUUAUCCGGAUUCAUUGGGUUUAAAGGGUGCGCAGGCGGAAUGAUAAGUCAGUGGUGAAAUCCUACAGCUCAACUGUAGAACUGCCAUUGAUACUGUUAUUCUUGAGUACACUUGGAGUGGGCGGAAUGUGUCAUGUAGCGGUGAAAUGCUUAGAUAUGACACAGAACACCGAUCGCGAAGGCAGCUCACUAAAUUGUAACUGACGCUCAUGCACGAAAGCGUGGGGAUCAAACAGGAUUAGAUACCCUGGUAGUCCACGCCGUAAACGAUGAUCACUCGAUGUUGGCGAUAUACUGUCAGCGUCUAAGGGAAACCAUUAAGUGAUCCACCUGGGGAGUACGAUCGCAAGAUUGAAACUCAAAGGAAUUGACGGGGGCCCGCACAAGCGGAGGAGCAUGUGGUUUAAUUCGAUGAUACGCGAGGAACCUUACCUGGGCUAGAACGCUGGGCGACCGUCCGGGAAACCGGAUUUCUCUUCGGAGCGGCCAGCGAGGUGCUGCAUGGUUGUCGUCAGCUCGUGCCGUGAGGUGUCGGGUUAAGUCCCAUAACGAGCGCAACCCCUAUCAUUAGUUGCCAUCAGGUCAUGCUGGGAACUCUAGUGAAACUGCCUACGCAAGUAGUGAGGAAGGUGGGGAUGACGUCAAAUCAGCACGGCCCUUACGUCCAGGGCUACACACGUGCUACAAUGGCCGGUACAAAGGGCAGCUACCUGGUGACAGGAUGCUAAUCUCAAAAACCGGUCUCAGUUCGGAUCGAAGUCUGCAACUCGACUUCGUGAAGUUGGAUUCGCUAGUAAUCGUAUAUCAGCAAUGAUACGGUGAAUACGUUCCCGGGCCUUGUACACACCGCCCGUCAAGCCAUGGGAGUUGGGGGUACCUAAAGUACGUGACCGCAAGGAGCGUCCUAGGGUAAAACCAAUGACUGGGGCUAAGUCGUAACAAGGUAGCCGUACCGGAAGGUGCGGCUGGAAUACCUCCUUU